GCUGUAUUGAUGGCCACAAUUCUGCUCCACUCCCUGCGGCGGACCCUGCGCAUCUUCAUUACUCCCUGACAGGCUGUAUUGAUGGCCACGAUUCUGCUCCACUCCCUGCGGCGGACCCUGCGCAUCUUCAUUACUCCUGACAGGCUGUAUUGAUGGCCACGAUUCUGCUCCACUCCCUACGUUGGAUCCUGUGCGAUUCCACCACUCCCUGACGAGUCACGACAGUGGAUGCCGCUCCACUCCCUAUAACUGACUCCACGUGGCGAGCCACAGUGAUAGCCACGAGCCCACUCCAUUACCCUCUGUAGUAAAUCCCUCCUGACUCUGGGCGGCCCA
Molecule: long non-coding RNA, 336 nt
Filed under: Elaeis guineensis (African oil palm)
Lineage: Eukaryota; Viridiplantae; Streptophyta; Magnoliopsida; Arecales; Arecaceae
Description: long non-coding RNA (EGUI_LNC047070)
Source: RNAcentral